Long non-coding RNA from Mustela lutreola (European mink), 775 nucleotides. RefSeq lists it as uncharacterized. The record is from RefSeq and is a predicted model, not a curated record. Lineage: Eukaryota; Metazoa; Chordata; Mammalia; Carnivora; Mustelidae. The transcript has 3 exons.
UCUGGAGACAUGCCAAGUGCUAGGUAGGCCCUGUGCCAAGUGCUUCCCAUGGAUUAUCUCAUGGAAUUCUCAUCACUACCUGAUGGUUCAUUAUCUUCACUUCACAGAUGCAGAAACGGAAGGGAGCACUUUUAAGGGCAUGGACCACAUUCAACUUCUGAACCUGUGGUGUCUGGAGCAGCGCCUGGAACAUUGUCUAAGGAAAGAAUGAGUGGAUAAACAGAAGAAUGAAAAUCUGCAGUAUACACAGAGCUGUGCCCUGGCCCAGCUCCACGGCCACCACCACCUCCUACCAGAUGGCAGGAAGCGAGCCUGCAGGAGAUGGUAGCCAUUGUCUCUCUAAGAACCGCUGAGCUUCUGGGAGAGGCCAGAUUGGUGGUGACAGGCAGCUGGACGACCCAGGAGUCCAAGGAGUCCAAGGAGUGCCCAGAAGAGAGGAGUUCCCUGGGCACUCGUGGCCAAACUGCUGUAUCUAGCCUACAUACAUCUUUUUUUCCCAAAGAUGCCAAAUGCCUCCCUUGUACCCUUGGUUUUUGUCGAGGUUCUCAUAACUAACCUUCAUAUCACCAUGUUCCCAAGUAAACUGAGGCUCUCUGUUUCCUCUGCAAGUGCUCCCAACUGACACCUGUGGAGGGCAGAGUUCUGCAGCUGGGCAGGGGCCCUCUCAUUUGUGUGCAGACGUUCACUCCCACUAAUGGAGGGCCUCGCCAUCAGUUACUGUUUAAUGAGAGGCGGUUCUGCAGGAUUCUCCCCUGUUUAUUCCUGCUGGGGUGGU